CUCUGCACUCCAGCCUGGAUAACAGAACGAGACUCCGUCUCAAAAUAAAAAAUAAAAUAAAAAAAAUAAUGGGGCUGUCCUUGGACAGAUGCUAAUUUGGGAAGGAAAGACUGGUAACCUGAGAAACACCUUGUAUCAUGCAAGAAAGUGAUGUAAUAUAUGUAAAAAGAAAAAGAAACUGAUUUUGCUAUUGGCUGGAUGACAUACGCAUCCCCAAUUGAUAUAAUUGCCCCAAAGUUGAAGUAUUUAGGAACUGAAUAAAUAGCUACCAUAUAUCAUUCCCCCAUAGGCUGUUGACUCCUCUAGCUGGUGCUCAUUUACCCUCAUUCUAGGCUCAGCCUGGCCACUCCCAAGGCUAAGGUGUCAGUGCAGAUUGAACUGUCCUCAUUCGUUCACAUACUUCAUUUUUCUAUAAUCGUCUAUGAUGAUCUACUAAGAGCCAAGCCUGUAGGAGGUACAGGAGACAAAAAACAAGAGGUAUCCUUGCUGCUUUCAAAGGAGACAGCCAUGCAAAAAUGCAAAGGAUACUCUCCGUGUAUCAGGAGUCCUGAGCCAGGGGCUCUUUAUUGCUUUGGCAAGGUAUGUACAGCCUCUUUUGCCUGGGUACAGUCACUGAACUCUGCGCAUGUUCCCUGUCACCAAGUCUGCCUUCAUCUCUUGUCCUCACAUUCCCUCACCUCACCACCACCAUAAUCAAGUUCUUACCUUAGAGCCCUGUCUUAAAGGUUACUAUAGUAUGAUCAUUGUGAUUUAAUGACUAAUAUUAAUAAGCCAUUUGAUAUAUGCCAGCAGUCUCUAAGGGCUUACCAUUAAUUCAUCCAAUACCUCAACUCAUUUAAUUCUCACAACAACCCGAUGAGAGACUAUCUCCAUUUGCAGAUGAGGAAGUUGAGGUAUACAGAAUUUAGAUAAUCCUCAUUCCUGCCUUGCAGCGACAGUCUCCUCUGGUUGUUGGAGUUUGGGGACAUGCAGAUUUCCAUGUCUAAAUGUAUAUUUCUUGUUCUGGAAGCACUCAGUGUCUGCCUAGAAGAACACUAGUUGCAAACAAGAAACUGUACCUUAGCUAGGUCCUGGUGUAUAUUUUAUUACAUCUGGGUUGUUUGUCUUUAUUACACCUUGGUUCUUCUUCUAGAAUGUGAGUCACUUGAUAGCAAGAAUCAUUUGGGAUGUACUUGAUACCUAAUAAAUAUUAUUUUUUUUCUCCCUUCAUAGUAGAUACUGAAUGAAGGUGUCAUAAAUGCUGCUGGACCUUCCUAUAGUACCAGCGUUACUUGGCAGCUUUGUCUGGUUCAGCGCUCUUACAUUUAAAUGAAUCAGAAAUGUACAAUUGGCUUGGGAAGAAAACACAGCCAGCCACAGGGGAGCAAGCUCAAAGAAGUUGCAAAACGAGAAGGAGAUGAGAGAAAUCAGAGAAGGAAGCAAGCAUUCUGACUUUUGACUGAGAGUCUCUGCCAGUUUUGCCUCACAUAUGAACACUUAUUUACUUUGCACACUAUUGCAAUCUGUAAUAUUGCAAAACAUAAAGUCAAAUAUUCUUCCCUUGUUUUAAUACUCAACAAGACCUCAGCCUUAUUAGCUUUUACCAACUAUUACGAAAACUUAAUAUGGCCUCCAAGUAACAUCAUUCUCAGACCAUAUUCCCAGUUGUGAAUAUUGUCCCUAGAUUGGACCUAGGUUAAAACAUUAGAUGUUAGUAUCAAAAAGGAGAAUUAUAACCAAAUAAAAACCAGAAAGAUCCCA
Homo sapiens (human) is the source of this 1740-nucleotide long non-coding RNA. RefSeq lists it as uncharacterized. The record is from RefSeq and is a predicted model, not a curated record. The transcript has 2 exons. Lineage: Eukaryota; Metazoa; Chordata; Mammalia; Primates; Hominidae.